Molecule: ribosomal RNA, 1585 nt
Filed under: Equisetum arvense (field horsetail)
Lineage: Eukaryota; Viridiplantae; Streptophyta; Polypodiopsida; Equisetales; Equisetaceae
Description: SSU rRNA
Rfam family: Bacterial small subunit ribosomal RNA
Source: RNAcentral
AUGCUUAACACAUGCAAGUCGAACGUUGUUUUCGGGUGUACCACCGCCCCCGAUCCGGAUCCUGCCUCGCCUUUGCUCGUUCCGCCAAAUGCCCUGACAAGAGUGAGAACAGUUGGAAACAAAGUGGCAAACGGGUGCGUAAUGCGUGGGAAUCUGCCAAACAGCUUGGGCCAAAUCCUGAAUAAACUUGCGAACUUCGCAAAGGAAAGCUAAAAAGCGCUGUUUGAUGAGCCUGCGUAGUAUUAGGUAGUUGGUUGGGUAAAGGCUGACCAAGCCGCAGAUGCUUAGCUGGUCUUUUCGGACGAUCAGCCACACUGGGACUGAGACACGGCCCAGACUCCUACGGGAGGCAGCAGUGGGGAAUAUUGGACAAUGGGCUCAAGCCUGAUCCAGCAAUAUCGCGUGAGUGUGAAAAACGUGCCAAGCGAGGAAGAAGGGCAAGGCCGCUUGUAAAGCUCUUUCGUCGAGUUUGGAUUAUGACGGGACUCGAAAAAGAAGCCCCGGCUAACUCCGUGCCAGCAGCCGCGGUAAGACGGGGGGGGCAAGUGUUAUUCGGAAUGACUGGGCGUAAAGGGCACGUAGGCGGUGAAUCGGGGUUGGAAGUUAAAGGCGCCGGCUCAACUGGCGGAAUGCUUUCAAAACCAAUUCACUUGAGUGGGAUAGAGGAGAGUGGAAUUUCGUGUGUAGGGAUGGAAUCCGGAGAUAUACGAAGGAACGCCGAAAUAGCGAAGGCAGCUUUCUGGGUCUCUACUGACGCUGAGGUGCGAAAGCUUGGGGAGCAAACAGGAUUAGAUACCCUGGUAGUCCAUGCCGUAAACGAUGAGUGUUACGUCCUUGGUCUGCUGCAACGGGAUCGGGAGCCCAGCUAACGCGUUAAACACUCCGCCUGGGGAGUACGGUCGCAAGACUGAAACUCAAAGGAAUUGACGGGGGCCUGCACAAGCGGUGGAGCAUGUGGUUUAAUUCGAUACAACGCGCAAAACCUUACCAGCCUUUGACAUAUGAACACUUGACAUAUGAACACUAUACAUAUGAACAAGUGUGCUUGUCCUUAACGGGAUGAAACGAAAAUUCAUACAGGUGCUGCAUGGCUGUCGUCAGCUCGUGUCGUGAGAGACGUUUCUGGUUAACUCCUAUAACGAGCGAAACCCUCGUUUUGUGUUGCUAAGACAUCCAUAGGUGUUGCACUCACAAAAGACAGCCUACGUCUACUUAUGGAGGAAGGUGGGGAUGACGUCAAGUCCGCAUGGCCCUUAUGGGCUGGGCUACACACGUGCUACAAUGGCAAUUACAAUAGGAAGCAAGGCCGUAAGGCGGAGCGAAUCCGGAAAGAUUGCCUCAGUUCGGAUUGUUCUCUGCAACUCGAGAACAUGAAGUUGGAAUCGCUAGUAAUCGCGGAUCAGCAUGUCGCGGUGAAUAUGUACCCGGGCCCCGUACACACCGCCCGUCACACCCUGGGAAUUGGUUUCGCCCGAAGCAUCGACCAAGGAUCGCCCAUUACUAAAGUAUUCCACGCCUAGUUGAGUGUGGCCCACUCCGGUUUGGUGGUCUUCUUGGCGCAUAUCACGGUUGGGUCAGUGACUGG